GAAAUGCGAUACGUAGUGUGAAUUGCAGAAUUCAGUGAAUCAUCGAAUCUUUGAACGCACAUUGCGCCCUUUGGUAUUCCAAAGGGCAUGCCUGUUCGAGCGUCAUUUGUACCCUCAAGCUUUGCUUGGUGUUGGGCGUUUUUUGUCUUUGGCUCGCCCAAAGACUCGCCUUAAAACGAUUGGCAGCCGGCCUACUGGUUUCGCAGCGCAGCACAUUUUUGCGCUUGCAAUCAGCAAAAGAGGACGGCAAUCCAUCAAGACUCCUUCUCACGUUUGACCUCGGAUCAGGUAGGGAUACCCUCUGAACUUAAGC
Molecule: unclassified non-coding RNA, 313 nt
Filed under: plant metagenome
Description: partial contains 5.8S ribosomal RNA, internal transcribed spacer 2, and large subunit ribosomal RNA
Rfam family: 5.8S ribosomal RNA (bases 1-105)
Source: RNAcentral